UGGGGAAUAUUGGACAAUGGGGGCAACCCUGAUCCAGCAAUACCGCGUGAAUGAAGAAGGCCUUAGGGUUGUAAAGUUCUUUUGUCAGGGAAGAUUAUGACGGUACCUGACGAAUAAGUCCCGGCUAACUCCGUGCCAGCAGCCGCGGUAAUACGGAGGGGGCAAGCGUUGUUCGGAAUUACUGGGCGUAAAGGGUGUGUAGGCGGUACAUCAAGUCAGACGUGAAAGACCUAGGCUCAACCUAGGAGGUGCGUUUGAGACUGAUGAACUUGAGAUCGGGAGAGGUGAGUAGAAUUCCAAGUGUAGAGGUGAAAUUCGUAGAUAUUUGGAGGAAUACCAGUGGCGAAGGCGGCUCACUGGACCGAAUCUGACGCUGAGGCACGAAAGCGUGGGGAGCAAAGAGG
RNAcentral lists this ribosomal RNA (404 nucleotides) under uncultured bacterium. RNAcentral describes it as "bacterial SSU rRNA". It matches the Rfam family "Bacterial small subunit ribosomal RNA", at positions 355 to 776 of the family's 1533-position model. The record is from RNAcentral.